Molecule: unclassified non-coding RNA, 395 nt
Filed under: uncultured fungus
Lineage: Eukaryota; Fungi
Description: sequence contains ITS1
Rfam family: 5.8S ribosomal RNA (bases 1-104)
Source: RNAcentral
GAAAUGCGAUACGUAAUGUGAAUUGCAGAAUUCCGUGAACCAUCGAAUCUUUGAACGCAUAUUACGCUCUUUGGUAUUCCGAAGAGCAUGCUUGUUGAGUAUCAGUAAACACCUCAAAGUUUUUGGAUUUUUUUUUGAAAGCUUUGGACUUGGGCAAUCCCAACACCAAUCUUUUUCUGAUCGGCGGCGGGUUGCUUGAAAUGUAUGUGCAGCUGGACUUUCUCCUGAGCUAAAAGCAUAAUCAUUGUGUCCCGUCGAACGGAUUAUUACUUUUGCUGCAGCUAACAUAAGGGAGUUUGACCGCAUUGGCCGACUGAUGCAGUAUUUCACAAGGGUCGGCAACGAUUCUUGUUAAACUCGAUCUCAAAUCAAGUAAGACUACCCGCUGAACUUAA